CAAAGGGGAGCUUGUGCAAAGCAGGCUGAGAAAAGGUGUGUUCCUUGACCCUGAACCUGAUUUGGAUAAUGCCAACGUAGGGACAUAU
This 88-nucleotide non-coding RNA is filed under the name human gut metagenome. The record is from RNAcentral.